CAGGAUCAGGAAAUCGAACGAUGGCGAAAGACCCGUUGGUUUCCCUGACGACCCUACAAGGAAAUUACUUGUUUCAAUAGUUAAUUGUAGGAGCUUGCUGUUGCUUGGUGAGUGUGAAAAGUACGUCAGCCCAGAUUCAACACGCGUUUGAGGACAACCAUUCAAUUACGGGCAUCUUGACGUCCAAAGCGCUGAAGGAAAGAGACCUCGCCAAAAUGCUGAGACUAAGGAUGAGAACGAACGUCUUAAUAUGAACUGAUGACCUAAAACUUCGUAAUCCUUAGGCUGAAGUCCAGGAAAUCUUGUUACCUUUCUUCGAGAGAAAGGCGUUUCUUAUAUAAGCAACCUACACUCAAUUUUACGCAAGCUUAAAACAAUGAUAGAGCGAGACUGAUGUAAUGUUCCUUGUUAUGUAAUGUAACGGCAACACAUAAAUCUUUAGCCAUUGAGGAGAUUUCAGUGAGCCGCUAUGUAAAUGAAGUGCUACUACCCCAACAUAUACAUGAGAUUGACUACGUGGCUUUAUUUAAUCAUAAUUGUCGCGUAACAUAUUAUUGACGAGGCUUGGAUCAGUCACCCAUUAGAACGAACAAUCUAAACUAUAAUAAUAUAACGUAAAUAGCAUUAAUGCAAAGUACAGAUCAUUGUGGACCUUUGACGCACUACAUUGUCGUCGACUAGCUGGCUAUUGGGAAGAAAACAAUCAGAGUGCUUUGAGCCCACACAUUGGACCUUAUUCAUCAUCAAUGUAGGCUGCGUGCCCCAUUGAUUAGGAACUGGAUCGGACCAUUGCAAGAAAAAUAACGCUUCGUAGAUGGGGGCGCGAAUAAGCACAAGUUCAGCCAGGGCAGCUAGAUUAAGUUACUAAUUUGGUGCGACGGGCAAGAGAAGGAGGGGCUGCUGGGCUCAAACAAGAAAAGAUGGAACAUGUCCACCGAGCUUUUGAGAUAUAGUCUAGAUAUAGUCUCAACUAUCCAAGCUCGAUAAAGAAGCAAUGGUUAAAUUAAAAAGUGUACUAUCAUAGGUCAACUUUAUGCAAGGAUUAUAGGACGUCCUGAGCAUUGCACACCGAAAGAAUUCUGGGAUCUUUGCUCUUUGUCUGCUGGUGUGUAUAGACUGUCCAAUUUUUCUAGACUAGUCGGAAAUCGAUUGAAAUGUAGUAAACUCUAAUCAUUGAUAAAUGUUAGCGGUUAGCUGGAAAGAUGUUAGACAUGAUGAAAUCUAGGGUGUAUACUAAAGUUCAAUACAAUUUUCAUGUAUCCAAGGUACGGUCUAUCACGAACGUUAAACUAUGGUAGAUCCUGUAUGUCGAUGGUUCAUUGAACAGCUGGCGUUUCUAGGCGGCUGGUGGCAAUUUUCUGCUUACGUUGUCGUCCUUACCAACAUUUGCUGUUCGUGACGCAAUGCUAUCAGUUUUAAAAAAAAGUUAGCUUAUUUCAAUUUUGUCAUGACUGAGAAUUUUACUAUCAAAUUGCGCACUGGAUAGCGGGCAGCCAUAUAGUACAACACGAUCAAUCAACUUUUAUCAAUAACUUAAGGCUGUCCAUCGCAAGAUUAAGUAUACUAAUUUCAGAUUUGCUCAGUUUGUCGAGACUUAUUCGGCAGACUAAAGAAGACGCCUCACAAUAAAUUAGCAAGCAAAUAUCUAUGUCUUUUAAUACACACCGAUAUACCUAUAUAUUGUUUAAAGUACUUCAACUUGUAUGCAUACCUACCUAUCUUACUGUCUAUUCUAGAUUGAAGGCCUGUCGCAGUUAACACUUUGUUCUGAUCCACCAGAGGCUCUAGAACAUUUACAUAUUAUUCAAAUAGAAUGAGUUGUUUUUGGUUGUAACUUGAAGUGAUAUGUUUCCAUAUUUUGCGGCACUGAUUUCGAUCGCGUAUCCGUUGAUUUUCUAGUAUCAUUUUACGACGACGGACUCCAUGAUCGUUAGAUAUUUCGGACACGUCCUAAUAUACAGGAUUUUUGGCGAAAAUUAUCGUUUUUUGAAAACGAAUUAUGAAAAUCGAAAAUAAAAUAAUCUAAUUGUUGAAAUGCAAUAUGAGCUUAAGAUGCAUUUAGCUGUAUCGUCAUUCUAGAACUCGUGUAAAAGGAUGUAUUACGUAUAUAUUUAUAUAUUAUAAUCGAACUUGGUAUAAUAACAGCAUACUUUCUAUACACACGCAGUAAGAUACGUUUCACUAAUUCAAUAAAAAAUACUGUGUUUGCUUACGAUCGACAGGCAAAUCAUAGAAACAAGAAGCAGAGCGCUUUUCCAGUGUUUCUAGUUUAUACAUGUUCAUGAUUGAUAACUUAAAAUUUAUAGGUAUGUGAAGUAACUUCGAAACGAAGUAGAAAAAUACACUACCGUAUCAACAAAGUAUUAUCCUCUUAGAUUUAUUACGUAAAUCGCAGGCAGAGUCGAUGAGUUACACUGACAUGCUAGGAGUCUGCUUGCCGUUUGGUUUUAUUUUUCAUUGAAUGACUACAUACAUGUCUUUCCACCUAACCUUCUCUCCUCUUCCCCCCUCUCUCUCUCUCUCUCUCUUUCUCUCUUGUCUGAGCUGGGACGACCUCUCAAUGAUUAAUCAAUAAUAACUGACAUUGAUUAAGUAUUUGAUGAAACAUUCAAAACGAGUACACCCUUUCGAUCGUGAUAAUUAUUAAAGUCUCUUUAAUUUAGCUUAAUCGAUCUUUAAUUAGAACCAAUCUCAAACUAGUAAAAUCAAUCAUUAGACAUAUUGGCAUAUUGUCUAGAUAAUUAGUUAUCUCCUAGUAUCUCCGAGUAUUUGUCCUUUUAAGCGUACAAGCUAUAACAUCUGUGUAACAUGCUACUUGAUAUAACCCAGACACAAUGAACACAUUUUAGCGUUUACGAAGCUGUUAUUUUACCUAAUAAGCUGUUUUUAAACCUAAUUUAUGAUAGACCCAGUUCAUGUUCAGUAACAACGGAGCAAUCGACACCAGUGAAUUUAUUUCUUAUUAUCAAAUAUAUCUCGAAGGAUUCGUACAUUAAAAUCGUCCAUAUUUUUGAUCGUUAUUGUGGGCCAAAGAACAGCUAAUAUUUCCUGUAUCAGAUAGCGUAAAUAUAAAUAUUUGAAAUAAUUCGAUACUAUCUAAACCGAACUGCUUACCAGGUUUUACCGGCCGCCUAUAAUAUUGAGCAGGCUUCUCCGUCCGUCUCAAUAGCGACAUCAUGAACAUUUAUAGGUUUACGUUAAUGAAGUGUUAUUUUACGACGGAGAACAGUAACUGCAUGUCUCUGAUAGAGCAAACCCAUUCACACUCCACUACUAAUAGGCCAUAUCCGACGAAAGCACUUCAUCCCAUCUUGGAAGCGGAACAUUGAUUCUGUCAUGUUUAAUAUCGUUCGCUGAAAAAAUAUCCACUACACAAGCCAGCCUUUGACGCGUUUGGUGUUCAUAAGUCGGUCCAUAUAAUAAGCGAAUGAAUUAGACUAUGAGACAUAAUUAUAGCGAGGAACUCGACAUUAGCGGUCCCAUUUGACGACCAACCCCCGUUUAUUAGCUAACUGAAUGCCAAUUUAGAAAAAUAGGUAGAACAUGUGCUGAUAGUUGCGUCGGGUUAUGUCGCCGAAACGGGCAGGCGGUACGUCUCCGGCUUCGUAAACACUAAAGCCUCUGGUAAUUUCCUUGCUCUUUUGUGAUUUUUGCGGGACUAGCUGUACAUCAUCCUAUGAAAAGACUAGAAUUCAGGUUUGAGUUAACUAUAGAAGACGCAUAAGUGGUUAAAUGCUCUUUUUCUACGAGAUCGCAUAGAACGAUUUCUUGAAUAUGUUUGGUUUAGAGAAACAACAGUGUCACUUUGGCGCGAACGCCAGACACCUAACGGCUUUUUGUCUAUUGCCGCCCUAUUUGAUUUUUCCUACAGAUCCUUUCACAAAUUAUGAGAAUUAUUUAAUCUUCGUUAGGGCAGUGGUGCUUAUCCUCCAUAUCCCAAGCGAUAGCCCUUUUAUCAUUUCUCCUUCCAGAAAUUAUCUAUUUCUUCGGUAUAAUUUAUUAUGACCUCAAUGUAACACAAACCGUUUUACAUUAUUUUAAUGACCAGCUCCGCUGCAGCAUGCUUUCCCUAUGUUUCCACAUUGGUGGUCUCAUUGUAUUCACAGCGUAUAUACAAAAAAUCAUCUCAACCGAGGUAAACACGAAUUACAUUAAGGUUACAUUACGGAUUCGUUGGAUUCAUAAGCCUGAAGACUGCCAUAAGUACUGUAUAUCUGGGAUACGUAAUCAUAUGUAUGAGUGAUUUAUCAAUUAACCUUCUUUUCCUCUACCUCGUUUUCACCUACCGUAUUUUCUCCUGCGCAAAGUUUUGUUUCUUCAUAAACAUUUACACUGCUUCUAGCGCGCAACUAUUUAUAAGCUCUUUUCAUCUAGACUAUAGAGCUUUCGUACAAUACAUGCUAUAUAUAUGUGUGUAACUAUAUAAGUCAUUGCACAGACUCAACAAGCGAUAAAGGAAGCGCUAUAGAACACAACUUUUGGACCAACUCAACGGCAAUACUAUUAAUGAAACAUAUUCAGAAAGCAGCUAAAAACAAUAGAAAAAUUACAGAAAAAAAAAAACACUCUGCUUAGAUUUAAAUUGUUUAGGAUGUCCCUAUGCAGUUAAAACGUAAUCGUGUAUUGUCUACGGAACGAAUAGGAUAUGUUUCAAAAGGAGUCAAGUCGGGUCUGAAAUCAACCAAACCCUAUAGGAGUGCAAGAGCUGAAUAAUAUGAAACUACCGACUUUAAGACUAGCAAAACUCAUCAGCCAACAAUAAUAUCG
RNAcentral lists this long non-coding RNA (4767 nucleotides) under Varroa destructor (honeybee mite). Its description in RNAcentral is "uncharacterized LOC111253686". Lineage: Eukaryota; Metazoa; Arthropoda; Arachnida; Mesostigmata; Varroidae. The record is from RNAcentral.